AUUGAACGCUGGCGGCAGGCCUAACACAUGCAAGUCGAACGAGUGGCGGACGGGUGAGUAAUGUCUGGGAAAGUGCGUGAUGGAGGGGGAUAACUACUGGAAACGGUAGCAAAUACCGCAUACCAUCGGAUGUGCCCAGAUGGGAUUAGCGAGUAGGUGGGGGAAAGGCUCACCUAGGCGACGAUCCCUAGCUGGUCUGAGAGGAGGACCAGCCACACUGGAACUGAGACAAGGUCCAGACUCGUAAGGGAGGCAGCAGUGGGGAAUAUUGCACAAUGGGCGCAAGUCUGAUGCAGCCAUGCCGCGUGUGUGAAGAAGGUCUUCGGGUUGUAAAGUACGUUCAGCGGGGAGGCGUUACCCGCAGAAGAAGCACCGGCUAACUCCGUGCCAGCAGCCGCGGUAAUUC
This 406-nucleotide ribosomal RNA is filed under the name uncultured bacterium. RNAcentral describes it as "partial 16S ribosomal RNA". It matches the Rfam family "Bacterial small subunit ribosomal RNA", at positions 29 to 526 of the family's 1533-position model. The record is from RNAcentral.